Molecule: long non-coding RNA, 1602 nt
Organism: Dendrobium catenatum
Lineage: Eukaryota; Viridiplantae; Streptophyta; Magnoliopsida; Asparagales; Orchidaceae
Exons: 6
Source: RefSeq, a predicted model, not a curated record
AAUCUGCCCGCGAUCGCGUGUUACAGUCGCGUGAUCACUUAAUUUGAAGUCGAUUCAAGCGACUUUUGGCAGCGACUGAGCGGCGCAGUUCUAUUUUGGUGUUUAAAGGAAACAGAGGGCGGAAGAAGCAUCGCCGCAUCGGAGAAUGGAGAUACCGACGCGGCGACGCCUCUGGGGGCAUUUCUCUUCCCCUUCCUUCGUCUCUGUGGUUCGCACUCCUCAAGAGCCGACCUACUCUCUCUCGCUUUUCUGAUGGGGACACUCAUACGAAGAGGCCGAAGCCCUCUUCCUCCCUUCGUCUCUUUUGCUCUCUGUUCGCCCUAGCCCCUCUCUUCCGUCUCCUUGUAAUGCACAAGAGGCUGGAAGCCCCUCUUCCCCACGGAUUCUCCCUCUUCAGACGCCUCCAAGCCGCAAUCCUCACAAGAUAGUCCUCCAUACACUCCCGUCGGCUCUGAUACGCAGAGGCGAAGCCCUUGCCUUUCUCGACCGGUUUCCACUUCCUCUCGACGCCGAGCCUCCUCCAACCUUAUUCUCACACCCGCUGCCAACAUUGCCGACUCGACCUCACCAACCAGAUUUGCUGCUGUUGUGGCCUAACAGAUUUGUUUGAUGAAAAGUUAUAUAAAUGUCAAUGAAUUGGUCUUCUUUGAUAUGGAUAGCUGCUGCCACUUAAGUAUAUAAUCAGAUAGCUUUAUGAACAUAUAUGUAUGUUUUGUUCAAAUUGCUUGCCAUUCCAUGUCGGGGCACCUAAGAUUCAAAACUUUAGAAGAUUUUAAAGUUAGAUUUGAGUUUAUAGUUUGUUCAAAAUUGCUUGCCAUUCCAUGUUGGGGCACCUAAGAUCCAUAACUUUAGAAGAUUUUAAAGUUAGAUUUGAGAAGGCUCUGGAAUCUAGGGAAGGAUUUGCAGCUAUUGCUAAGGAUUACUCUGAUUUGCUUAUGUUCGCAUUCGAUGAAAGUUACAAAGGCACUGAACAAGUAAUUGUGGACACUUCAAAAGCACAGAGAUGAUUUGGUGUAAUUUAAAUGCUAUUUUAGCUCGCGCGAAAAAAUUAUUUGAGCUCACGUCAUUGUAUGAGGGAAAACUUAACAAGGAACUUUUCGAGCAUGUGAAAUAUCUUUUAGAUGAUGCUACUGAUGAAAAGUGGUCAGCAAUUAGAAGAUUUCUUCAUCUUGAGAGAAUGACCACUUUAGUUGGUUUUGCUUCAACCCUUUCUUCAUUUAAUAUUUAUCAGACAAUUGUCAAAAAGUUGGUUGCAAAACUAGAAAAAUAUGUCAAAAGCAUUGUUGAAUCUAAGACAAAGGAAGAAGCUGGGAGGGUCUUGAUGAAUAUGAAAGACAGGUUUAAAACAAAAUUUAGUUGUGAUUCUGAUUCUAUGCCAAGACUAUGGACAAGAAAAGAAGAUAUAAAAGCAAUCACCAAAACGGCUUGUUCAGUAGUAUGUCAUAAAUUUGCAUUCCUACUACUUUUUUUUUUAUCUUGCAAGUUGAUAUGUAUGGUUAAUUCUUAUUUUUAUUUCAAAUUGUUGUUUUAUUUUUACAUCCUUUAAAGUUGUUAUAUGUCUUUGUAAUUCAUUUAGAUGGGGAGAAGGAUAACGUUGAGGAG